ACUACGGGUGGCAGCAGUGAGGAAUAUUGGUCAAUGGCCGGGAGGCUGAACCAGCCAAGUCGCGUGAGGGAAGACGGCCCUACGGGUUGUAAACCUCUUUUGUCAGGGAGCAAGGUGCAGGUCGGGACCUUCUGUGAGAGUACCUGAAGAAAAAGCAUCGGCUAACUCCGUGCCAGCAGCCGCGGUAAUACGGAGGAUGCGAGCGUUAUCCGGAUUUAUUGGGGUUAAAGGGUGCGCAGGCGGAGGCACAAGUCAGCGGUAAAAUCGCGGGGCUCAAACCCGCUCCGCCGUUGAAACUGUGUCCGUUGAGUGCGCGAAGGGUAGGCGGAAUGCGUGGUGUAGCGGUGAAAUGCAUAGAUAUCACGCAGAACGCCGAUCGCGAAGGCAGCCUACCGGCGCGCAACUGACGCUCAUGCACGAAAGCGUGGGUAUCGAACAGGAUUAGAUACCCGGGUAGUC
RNAcentral lists this ribosomal RNA (459 nucleotides) under uncultured bacterium. RNAcentral describes it as "partial 16S ribosomal RNA". It matches the Rfam family "Bacterial small subunit ribosomal RNA", at positions 338 to 795 of the family's 1533-position model. The record is from RNAcentral.